Molecule: long non-coding RNA, 869 nt
Organism: Oreochromis niloticus (Nile tilapia)
Lineage: Eukaryota; Metazoa; Chordata; Actinopteri; Cichliformes; Cichlidae
Product: lysozyme C
Exons: 7
Source: RefSeq, a predicted model, not a curated record
GAAUGGGCCCGAACGAUGAGGUGUUACGGUCUGGUUGGCUACUACAACCACACCUUGGCUGACUCUCAGAAACACUCCCAAGCAAAAGAUGUCCAUGGACAUUUUCCAGGGCUUUGCUUAACCAGCAGUGCAUCAAACUUCAACACCUCAGCUAUCACUCACAGAUUCGAUGGAGCCAAGUUUUAUGGCAUCUUUCAGAACGCGUCCCUUAUGCUGUCCUUUGGGGUCCUCUUAUCUGAGCCUGGAAAUCAACACAAUUUGCAACUAAGCAUUUUUGGCUAUAAAAAGGGAAGCAGCAGCAGUUGUGGACACAUUCGGACAAGGAAAAAUACCAUCAUGAGGAGUCUGUUGGUUUUGCUCUUCUUGGCUGUGGCCAACGCCAAAAUCUUCGAGCGCUGUGAAUGGGCGCGCACGCUCAAGGCUAACGGCAUGGACGGCUACUAUGGAAUCAGCCUUGCCGACUGGGUUUGCCUCACCCGAUGGGAGUCAAACUAUAACACCAUGGCCAAAAACACCAACAAUGAUGGAUCCACCGACUUUGGCAUCUUUCAAAUUAACAGCUACUGGUGGUGCAAUGACUACAUCAUCAACUCGCAUAACGGAUGCAACAUGGACUGCAGUGCGUUUUUGAGCGAUAAUGUCAGUGCAGCAAUCACCUGUGCCAAACGUGUCGUUAGGGAUCCUCAAGGCAUCAGUGCCUGGUAUGGCUGGCGUUCUAACUGUGAUGGCCGUGACCUCAGCUCGUAUGUGAGUGGAUGUGGUGUUUAAUCAGCCCACGGGAACAGGAGGGUCUCGUCCACAUAAUAAGAUGUCCCCGUCUUCUUCUGUUUCUGUAAUUUCUCAAAUUAAUAAACUGAAUUAAAAUCACA